GAUGAACGCUGGCGGCGUGCCUAAUACAUGCAAGUCGAGCGAACAGACGAGGAGCUUGCUCCUUCGACGUUAGCGGCGGACGGGUGAGUAACACGUAGGUAACCUACCUAUAAGACUGGGAUAACUUCGGGAAACCGGAGCUAAUACCGGAUAAUAUUUCGAACCGCAUGGUUCGAUAGUGAAAGAUGGCUUUGCUAUCACUUAUAGAUGGACCUGCGCCGUAUUAGCUAGUUGGUAAGGUAACGGCUUACCAAGGCAACGAUACGUAGCCGACCUGAGAGGGUGAUCGGCCACACUGGAACUGAGACACGGUCCAGACUCCUACGGGAGGCAGCAGUGGGGAAUCUUCCGCAAUGGGCGAAAGCCUGACGGAGCCACGCCGCGUGAGUGAUGAAGGUCUUCGGAUCGUAAAGCUCUGUUAUUAGGGAAGAACAAACGUGUAAGUAACUGUGCACGUCUUGACGGUACCUAAUCAGAAAGCCACGGCUAACUACGUG
This 497-nucleotide ribosomal RNA is filed under the name uncultured bacterium. RNAcentral's name for it is "partial 16S ribosomal RNA". It matches the Rfam family "Bacterial small subunit ribosomal RNA", at positions 28 to 507 of the family's 1533-position model. The record is from RNAcentral.